CCUACGGGGGGCUGCAGUCGAGAAUCUUCGGCAAUGAGCGCAAGCUUGACCGAGCGACGCCGCGUGCGGGAUGAAGGCCUUCGGGUUGUAAACCGCUGUCGUAGGGGAGCAAGAAAUGAGGGUUCUCCCUCAAAUUUGAGCGAUCCUAGGAGGAAGGACGGGCUAAGUUCGUGCCAGCAGCCGCGGUAAGACGAACCGUCCAAACGUUAUUCGGUAUCACUGGGCUUAAAGAGUUCGGAAGCGGCGGUGUGAAAUCCCUCGGCUUAACCGAGGAAGUGCGCUUCAAACCGUGGAGCUAGAGGUAGACAGGGGUAAGCGGAACAGAUGGUGGAGCGGUGAAAUGCGUUGAUAUCAUCUGGAACACCGGUGGCGAAAGCGGCUUACUGGGUCUUUACUGACGCUGAGGAACGAAAGCUAGGGUAGCGAACGGGAUUAGAUACCCGAGUAGUC
RNAcentral lists this ribosomal RNA (450 nucleotides) under uncultured bacterium. RNAcentral describes it as "partial 16S ribosomal RNA". It matches the Rfam family "Bacterial small subunit ribosomal RNA", at positions 338 to 795 of the family's 1533-position model. The record is from RNAcentral.